AAGCUAUCAGAAUUCAAGAUUGUAAAUCAAGAUCCUCCAGCACUCUCAGACAAACUAGUAAUCAAGAAAAUGGCAGAGGCAGCGACAGAACUUAACUUAUCACACAAGAUGAUGAUCAGCCGAGCUUAUCAUGAUUCUCUAUUCAUGGCCAGGAUAUCUCCGAUGGGUAUGAUAUUCAUCCCGUGCUACAAAGGAUACAGCCAUAAACCUGAAGAAUACUCAUCUCCUGAAGACAUGGCUAAUGGAGUAAAAGUACUCUCCCUCGCUCUGGCUAAGCUCUCUUUAGACUGAUGCAAACCCUUUUCCUCACCCAGAAGCUUUACACAUUCUCUACCUUUUCUUCAGUCUUUGUAUCUUUGACAAUGUAAAGAAAAAUUCAAUAUAUGUUGUGGCUAUCAAGUUAACAAGUUAACAGUCACAGUUUUUUUUAAAAAAACUGUUGUAAUUAUCAAAGUCACAAUAGUAAUUUUGUUUCAUGUAAUUAAUAAAAUAUGUUUUAAAUUAA
Molecule: long non-coding RNA, 505 nt
Organism: Arabidopsis lyrata subsp. lyrata
Lineage: Eukaryota; Viridiplantae; Streptophyta; Magnoliopsida; Brassicales; Brassicaceae
Exons: 3
Source: RefSeq, a predicted model, not a curated record